Molecule: transfer RNA, 68 nt
Filed under: Megaloglossus woermanni (Woermann's bat)
Lineage: Eukaryota; Metazoa; Chordata; Mammalia; Chiroptera; Pteropodidae
Description: tRNA-His
Rfam family: tRNA
About the family: Transfer RNA (tRNA) molecules are approximately 80 nucleotides in length. Their secondary structure includes four short double-helical elements and three loops (D, anti-codon, and T loops). Further hydrogen bonds mediate the characteristic L-shaped molecular structure. tRNAs have two regions of fundamental functional importance: the anti-codon, which is responsible for specific mRNA codon recognition, and the 3' end, to which the tRNAs corresponding amino acid is attached (by aminoacyl-tRNA synthetases). tRNAs cope with the degeneracy of the genetic code in two manners: having more than one tRNA (with a specific anti-codon) for a particular amino acid; and 'wobble' base-pairing, i.e. permitting non-standard base-pairing at the 3rd anti-codon position.
Source: RNAcentral
GUAGAUAUAGUUUACAUAAAACACUAGAUUGUGAAUCUAGUAACAGAGACUAGAACCUCUUAUCCACC